Molecule: ribosomal RNA, 324 nt
Filed under: uncultured eukaryote
Lineage: Eukaryota
Description: partial 18S ribosomal RNA
Rfam family: Eukaryotic small subunit ribosomal RNA
Source: RNAcentral
CCCUUAGAUGUUCUGGGCUGCACGCGCGCUACACUGAUGCGAUCAACAAGUUUUUCCUAUGUCGAUAGACACGGGUAAUCUUUUGAACUCGCAUCGUGAUGGGGAUAGAUUAUUGUAAUUAUUAAUCUUCAACAAGGAAUUCCUAGUAGGUGCAAAUCAUCAGUUUGCAUCGAUUACGUCCCUGCCCUUUGUACACACCGCCCGUCGCUGCUACCGAUUGGUUGAUCUGGUGAAUUAUUCGGACUGCCGGCUGAAGGGGUUUCCUCAUCUGCCAGCGGAAAGUCUUGUUAACCCUAUCAACUAGAGGAAGCAGAAGUCGUAACA